AGGAGUGGAGCCUGCGGCUUAAUUUGACUCAACACGGGAAACCUCACCAGGCCCAGACACUGGAAGGAUUGACAGAUUGAGAGCUCUUUCUUGAUUCAGUGGGUGGUGGUGCAUGGCCGUUCUUAGUUGGUGGAGCGAUUUGUCUGGUUAAUUCCGAUAACGAACGAGACUCUAGCCUACUAAAUAGACGUUACACUUUCCUAGUAUCUCGAAGGCUCACAUCUCUCGUUAUUACUUUCUACACAUUGCCUGCAUUUCGGUGUUUGGUUUUUGUGUGGUUGGGCGGGAGUUUGUGGUUUUUACUACUGGCGUACAUAUAUAUCUUCUUAGAGGGACAGGCGGCUUCUAGCCGCACGAGAUUGAGCAAUAGCAGGUCUGUGAUGCCCUUAGAUGUUCUGGGCCG
This 403-nucleotide ribosomal RNA is filed under the name Licinus hoffmannseggii. Its description in RNAcentral is "SSU rRNA". It matches the Rfam family "Eukaryotic small subunit ribosomal RNA", at positions 1172 to 1489 of the family's 1831-position model. The record is from RNAcentral. Lineage: Eukaryota; Metazoa; Arthropoda; Insecta; Coleoptera; Carabidae.